AAAAAGUUAGUUAAAUUAUAACAUUAAUAUGUCAUGUUAAAAUUAUUAGAUUAACCUAGUACUUUUUG
This 68-nucleotide transfer RNA is filed under the name Euroleon coreanus. RNAcentral describes it as "tRNA-Asp". The record is from RNAcentral. Lineage: Eukaryota; Metazoa; Arthropoda; Insecta; Neuroptera; Myrmeleontidae.